CCUACGGGUGGCAGCAGUGGGGAAUAUUGGACAAUGGGCGAAAGCCUGAUCCAGCCAUGCCGCGUGUGUGAAGAAGGCCUUCGGGUUGUAAAGCACUUUCAGUGGGGAAGAAAGCCUUGGGGCUAAUACCCUCGAGGAAGGACAUCACCCACAGAAGAAGCACCGGCUAACUCCGUGCCAGCAGCCGCGGUAAUACGGAGGGUGCGAGCGUUAAUCGGAAUUACUGGGCGUAAAGCGCGCGUAGGCGGUCUGAUAAGCCGGUUGUGAAAGCCCCGGGCUCAACCUGGGAACGGCAUCCGGAACUGUCAGGCUAGAGUGCAGGAGAGGAAGGUAGAAUUCCCGGUGUAGCGGUGAAAUGCUUAGAGAUCGGGAGGAAUACCAGUGGCGAAGGCGGCCUUCUGGACUGACACUGACGCUGAGGUGCGAAAGCGUGGGUAGCAAACAGGAUUAGAUACCCGUGUAGUC
RNAcentral lists this ribosomal RNA (465 nucleotides) under Vreelandella stevensii. RNAcentral's name for it is "partial 16S ribosomal RNA". It matches the Rfam family "Bacterial small subunit ribosomal RNA", at positions 338 to 795 of the family's 1533-position model. Lineage: Bacteria; Pseudomonadati; Pseudomonadota; Gammaproteobacteria; Oceanospirillales; Halomonadaceae. The record is from RNAcentral.